UGGGAAAAGUGUGCCCUUUCGGACACAGUGGCUCAGAUUUUCCCACAACAGCAACACACUCCGGCAGCUCAAGGACCAAGGCUCAAAGGUGGAAUCUGAUGGACAGGACUCCGGCGACACAGGGAACUCAGCAAUAUCACCAAACAGGAGACCUUCUCAGGAAUCCGAUGAUAAUGCUCUCAAUAGCAGGAAGCCCGCUCAUCACAGCCACAACACCGGAGAUCAGACCGGGAAACACAGAAGGAAUAACAGAGCCUUCAAAGUUGUGAACCUCUUUAGCGGAACUUCCCACAAUCGAGUGCUUUAUAACCAAGAUGGGGACAGAUCAGGGAGGUAAAGGGAGGCAUCGGGAAGGAGGGGUAAGCCAUUAAUGAUGGUGGAACUCAAGGAGAGAGGAAGGCCAGAGGUCGGGAGAUCAAAGCUGGAGCGGCGGAAGGGAAGAGAGGGAUUUAGGGUUUGGCUGAAAGGGGGUUGGAGGCCAGGGCUAACCUCCAGGGCAGAGAGCGAAGAAGCAGAGCGGACCGCGAGAGAGAGAAGAGAACCUAGGGUGUUUCAAAUCUUUGUUAUUUUCUUCCCUUGCUUACACGAAGAGGGAUUAUUAUGCUUCACUGACAGUAGAACGCCCUAAUGAGUACGAAUCAAUGUAGUUAAUCACUUGACUUCAUGGGACGGGACCUAGUUGGGUUAAAUGGUUAAUAAAAUGGGAUAUGAGCCAUGCAUAAAUGCAUUACGCAUCCUCUUUUAUUUUAGAAUUUCCGCGGACUAAGACCUACGUUAUUUUUCCCGAAUCAAGGUUGAACGCAAGAGUUAAGGCUAGUCGUGAGUCACCCAACCAGGUGGGCUUUCUACGUAUAAACUAAAACCAUAUUAUAGAAUUGUUAUGACUUUAUGCUUAUGAUUUUGAAUGAUAUUGUCAAUGCCUAAAUGCUUUAUGUUUUGUUAUUAAUUACCUAUCUGAUGCUAAUCGAAUUCGGAUUCUGGAUGGGACCUCAAAUCCCUUCAGAAUUAGUGUACACCCUUGUGAUCGUGAGUCAUCUAGCUGGUUGGCCGAUCAUAGUGUCCGUAGAGGGAGGCCUACCUCUCGGCACGAGUUACUGAUAUGGUGAUUAAUGAUAUUAAAAUGCCGGCUCGAGAUAUUUAUGAAAGAAAUGAUAUUAUUUUUGUAGUAAAUACGAGUCUUUAAAGGAAAACCCUCGUAUCUUACUACCUAUGAAAGGCUUGACAAUAAAAUGUUAUGUAUGUAUGUAUAUUUCGACAAGUGUCCACUAAGUACUCCCGUACUUAGCCCUGCAUGUAUUUCUAAAUGUGCAGGUUGAGCUGUGAUCGGGGAUGUGGUGUGCAAGCGGAGCUUUGUCAAUCUAGGACGAGAACUUCAGAGCAAAGUAUAUGUCUUCAUACAUAUACUCGAGUUGAUGUUUUUCCGCUGCGUACAUUGAUUUUGCUAAGUUAUCAUGUCAUUUUUCAAACAAUAUGUACUAUUCAACAAUGUUUUCAAACUCUUCGAGUACCCUCUCGAAUAAUUAUGUACGGCCCCUUUCGGCCCUUGAUUAAUAUCUAGUCAUUCCGUUUGUUUCCUUUAUAUAUAGUCGAGUCAUCAAGAAGCUUAAUACGCCCCCCUUUUCUAAUCCCACUCCUAAAUCCCCUCCCCUCGUCGCGGGUUCCCCGAGUUUGCUAUCCUUAGCGGGCGCGGCCGCGACAUCAUUGAAGUCACAACAGAACACACACACAUGCAGGGGAGAGAGACAGACACAGAGUAGAGCACACAACACAACCGAGGCAGAAAAACGACCAGAACAAGAAAGAACAGGGCAGACACACAGAACAAGACAAAGCUCAACAACAUAAACAAAGACAACACAAGAAAAGGAAAGAAAAGAGACAAGCAGCCACAGAGGCUGAACUUGCCAUACACACAAGCACAGAGACUAAACUUUAACCACAAUCAAAGUUCACAACAGGAGCAAAAACCACAUUGUAAUCAAGGCCUACCUUUUGUGUAAAGUCCUUAGCAACAAAUCUAGUUUUGUAUCUCACUUUCUCAGUUUCAUGCUUGACUUUAAACAGCAAUUUGGACUCAAUAACAGAACAUUUAGUGGGCUUUACCACUAGUGUCCAAGUUUCAUUAGGUUCAUUCAUAAUAGGCUCAAGCAAGUUUUCUGGUUCAGCAUGCAAGUUGGGUUGAGGAUCCACCUCAAAAGGAACAGUGGGGGGAGGAAACAUAAACUUAUUCUUGUUUUGAUUAACAACAUUCACAUUCUCCACCUCACUUGGAGCAUCAGAUUGUGAGGAUUCAAGCAGGUCACGCAUGUGUUCAGUCUCAGUGUUUGGUUCUGGGUCCACCUCAGAAGGAAUGGGGGGAGUGAUCAUAAACUCAUACCUUUCUAGGUCACAAGGCCUAGUUGUCUCCACCUCACUUGGAGUGUCAGAAUGUGAGGAUUCAAGUAUGCACGGAAAACUUUGUUCAUUGAAGACAACAUUCCUACUGAUGCAAGUUUUAAAUCCAGGGAUAGACCUAUCCCACAACCUAUAGCAGUUGUUCAUGAUGACAAAAAAACUCAAACAGCUGCAAGCAGCAACACUCAAGACAGCAACCACACAGAUACCAACAAAGCAGGCAAAACAAAAGUCACACACAGCCACACAGGAUAAACCCCUCUCUCUCUUGCUUUCCAGGAUACUCGCAUGAGGAGACUCCUUUAAAGGAGAAUCCAGACGAACUGGACCAAGGCAAGAGAGAUCUCACUUGGCUUGGAAUACCAAUAGUUUAUCGAGAUGUAGAACAACAAGCGGAAGCACAAAAGCAAGUCAGGAUCGCAAGAUACCAAGAUCUCAGCAAGUAAAACAUGCAAAACACAAACAACAGCAGCAACACCAACCCUAGAAUCUAGAAGUUUCAAGUGUUUAAGCCAAUUUACCAGAGCCGCCUUCCCAGGAAGGGGAGAGGCCGGCCCUACCUUGUUCCUUGCUCGUCGGGAGCGAGAAUGGCGCAGCCAAGGGGCGGCAGGGUGGGUAAGAUGUGUUCAGAGGGUGCCCUGGCUAGGUCACCGUGGCUCUGAUACCACUGUUGGGUAUCUUCGCCUAGCCGGAGGUUCACCGCUUGGUUUCCGUCCGUCCUGCCGCCUUCACUCGACACUCUAGUGUCAAAGUUCCUCGUCACAACUCUUCCUCUUCGUCUUCUUCUUCUGCUCCUGCGUGUACCUGCAAAUCACCAGAAACACAGCAAGUCAACAGUUUAAAGAAAGAAACGAAGGAAGACAGAAAAGUAAGAAAGUCCAGAGGAGAUUCGAGGUGGGAAAAGUGUGCCCUUUCGGACACAGUGGCUCAGAUUUUCCCACAACAGCAACACACUCCGGCAGCUCAAGGACCAAGGCUCAAAGGUGGAAGAGGAACUCAGAUCGGAGCCCAACUCAGUCAAGCCCAGCCGCCUAAACUCAGGAAUCCGAUGGACAGGACUCCGGCGACACAGGGAACUCAGCAAUAUCACCAAACAGGAGACCUUCUCAGGAAUCCGAUGAUAAUGCUCUC
RNAcentral lists this long non-coding RNA (3525 nucleotides) under Salvia miltiorrhiza (redroot sage). RNAcentral's name for it is "long non-coding RNA (SMIL_LNC012190)". Lineage: Eukaryota; Viridiplantae; Streptophyta; Magnoliopsida; Lamiales; Lamiaceae. The record is from RNAcentral.